CAAGCCUGUCAACAGCUGAGAAGUUUGGAGCCGGCUUUACUCAGUUCCUCGGCAGCUGGGUUAUCAGUGGAUAUAGCUCUGCUCACCCUGUAAAAGAUUGCAGAGAAACCGGCAGAUCCUUUUAAGGACACAGAGAUGAAAUAAUAGAGUGUCUUAGAUUUACCUGAAGACAACCCAGUGUCAGGAAAGAGACGUGGACAAGAGAAUAAUGAAACAAGAUUGGCCAAAAGCUGACAGCUAGUGAAGCUGAAUAAGAUGUGGAAUUUCAUUUACACACCCCACCACUGUUCUGGACCCUCCACCAUCACAGUACGUAAGAUGACAGGGAGGCGACUCCACAGGAGUGGGAAUGAAGUUGAGAAAAAAGAGAAGUCCUGGCCUGUCUUUUCCCUUCCUUUCUCCAUACAGGGUGAUGAUGAGGUGAAGGGGACACUGCGCAGAGGCCCAUCAGCUGCCAGUGCCCAUGCAGACAGAUGCAAAGCAGGGAGAUAAAGUCAUGAAGAGGUUCAUCAGUGCUGGGAACACUUGCACCAAAAGAUGCAGGAUGGGGAGUGUUGGGGGCUGCAUGGAGAUGAUGGGUGAAGGAGACUAUAAGAUUGGGAGAUUGAUCCAAUGGGAAAAUAAAUUAACUAAUUGAAACCAUCAAUAAUUAUACUGAAAAUAGGGGCGCCUGGGUGGCUCAGUGGGUUAAGCCGCUCGGGUCAUGAUCUCAGGGUCCUGGGAUCGAGUCCCGCGUCGGGCUCUCUGCUCA
This is a long non-coding RNA of Lutra lutra (Eurasian river otter), 751 nucleotides long. RefSeq lists it as uncharacterized. Lineage: Eukaryota; Metazoa; Chordata; Mammalia; Carnivora; Mustelidae. The record is from RefSeq and is a predicted model, not a curated record. The transcript has 4 exons.